RNAcentral lists this ribosomal RNA (246 nucleotides) under uncultured bacterium. RNAcentral describes it as "partial 16S ribosomal RNA". It matches the Rfam family "Bacterial small subunit ribosomal RNA", at positions 15 to 235 of the family's 1533-position model. The record is from RNAcentral.
GAUCAUGGCUCAGGACGAACGCUGGCGGCGUGCUUAACACAUGCAAGUCGAACGAGAGGACAAGAGAAGCUUGCUUCUUUUGGAAUCGAGUGGCAAACGGGUGAGUAACACGUAAACAACCUGCCUUCAGGAUGGGGACAACAGACGGAAACGACUGCUAAUACCGAAUACGCUUGGGAGACCGCAUGAUCUUCCAAGGAAAGGGUGGCCUCUACCUGUAAGCUAUCGCCUGAAUAGGGGUUUGCG